AUCAUCAUUUUGAGUCAAUAAUGGUGGGCACAUAACAUCAGCACAUUUACAAGCUGCACUUGCCUUGGUUUUCCAUCUUCUACUCUGCCCAGUAGUUUCAGGAGCUGAAUUACAUGCAGACAGUGACUUAGUGGAAGUCUUUUGUUUUUUGCCCUUGUUUUUCUGUAUGUUUUGUUCUUGGGUACACCCAGAAACCCCUUCUAUAGCAAG
Molecule: unclassified non-coding RNA, 210 nt
Filed under: Hevea brasiliensis (rubber tree)
Lineage: Eukaryota; Viridiplantae; Streptophyta; Magnoliopsida; Malpighiales; Euphorbiaceae
Source: RNAcentral